Molecule: long non-coding RNA, 300 nt
Organism: Xenia sp. Carnegie-2017
Lineage: Eukaryota; Metazoa; Cnidaria; Anthozoa; Malacalcyonacea; Xeniidae
Exons: 3
Source: RefSeq, a predicted model, not a curated record
GCUACGUGGGAAGAUGAAAGACAACGAAGACGAGAUAUUGGACUAUCUUCACAAGUUGCUCUUCCUGUUUCACAAGGUAGUGAUGAUGAACAUGAUGAAGAUAUUGAUGAAGAUAAAGAAUCAAUAUUAAUGUCACAGCCAUUUUGGAAAGAUGAUGAAGAGGAACAUGAUUCCCAAAGUUCGGAGGAUGAAGCGGAAAAUACUUUUCAGGAACAGAAAUACUUUUAAGAAGCUGUCACCUAUUAAUAAAUACUUUAGUAUAAAUAUGAUUGUCUUAAUUAAACCAUCUUCUUGUUUUAA